This 443-nucleotide ribosomal RNA is filed under the name uncultured bacterium. Its description in RNAcentral is "partial 16S ribosomal RNA". It matches the Rfam family "Bacterial small subunit ribosomal RNA", at positions 338 to 795 of the family's 1533-position model. The record is from RNAcentral.
CCUACGGGAGGCAGCAGUGGGGAAUAUUGGGCAAUGGGCGCAAGCCUGACCCAGCAACGCCGCGUGAAGGAAGAAGGCUUUCGGGUUGUAAACUUCUUUUCUUAGGGACGAAGAAAGUGACGGUACCUCAGGAAUAAGCCACGGCUAACUACGGGCCAGGAGCCGCGGUAAUACGUAGGUGGCAAGCGGUCUCCGGAUUUAUUGGGUGUAAAGGGCGUGUAGGAGGGAAAGCAAGUCAGAUGUGAAAACUCAGGGCUCAACCCUGGGCCUGCAUUUGAGACUGUUUUUCUUGAGUGCUGGAGAGGCAAUCGGAAUUCCGUGUGUAGCGGUGAAAUGCGUAGAUAUACGGAGGAACACCAGUGGCGAAGGCGGAUUGCUGGACAGUAACUGACGCUGAGGCGCGAAAGCGUGGGGAGCGAACAGGAUUAGAUACCCUAGUAGUC